This 222-nucleotide ribosomal RNA is filed under the name uncultured bacterium. RNAcentral describes it as "partial 16S ribosomal RNA". It matches the Rfam family "Bacterial small subunit ribosomal RNA", at positions 112 to 334 of the family's 1533-position model. The record is from RNAcentral.
CGGACGUGGAUAACCUGCCUCACACAGGGGGAUAACAGUUAGAAAUGACUGCUAAUACCGCAUAAGCGCACGGCAUCGCAUGAUGCAGUGUGAAAAACUCCGGUGGUGUGAGAUGGAUCCGCGUCUGAUUAGGUAGUUGGUGGGGUAACGGCCCACCAAGCCGACGAUCAGUAGCCGGCCUGAGAGGGUGACCGGCCACAUUGGGACUGAGACACGGCCCAA